RNAcentral lists this non-coding RNA (23 nucleotides) under Arabidopsis thaliana (thale cress). Lineage: Eukaryota; Viridiplantae; Streptophyta; Magnoliopsida; Brassicales; Brassicaceae. The record is from RNAcentral.
GCGAGAUCGUGAAGUUGCAUGGA